RNAcentral lists this ribosomal RNA (374 nucleotides) under uncultured bacterium. RNAcentral's name for it is "bacterial SSU rRNA". It matches the Rfam family "Bacterial small subunit ribosomal RNA", at positions 29 to 430 of the family's 1533-position model. The record is from RNAcentral.
AACGAACGCUGGCGGCAGGCCUAACACAUGCAAGUCGAGCGAGGACUUCGGUCCUAGCGGCGGACGGGUGAGUAACGCGUGGGAACGUGCCCUUUGGUUCGGAAUAGCCCUGGGAAACUGGGAGUAAUACCGGAUGAGCUCUUCGGAGGAAAGAUUUAUCGCCAAAGGAUCGGCCCGCGUUGGAUUAGGUAGUUGGUGGGGUAAUGGCCUACCAAGCCGACGAUCCAUAGCUGGUUUGAGAGGAUGAUCAGCCACACUGGGACUGAGACACGGCCCAGACUCCUACGGGAGGCAGCAGUGGGGAAUAUUGCACAAUGGGCGCAAGCCUGAUGCAGCAACGCCGCGUGAGUGAUGACGGCCUUCGGGUUGUAAAG